CAUUUACUCAUUUAAUCUCCAGCAUAUGGAUAUGAGAGCUGAGGUAUAUAUGCCCAUUUUCUGGACAAAAAUACUGAGGCGCCGAGAGGUAACAAUUUGCUGAAGGACACACAUCUCACGUCAGUAGCAGAAUCAAGUGACUUCUUCUUCAGUUUCCAGAGCCUUUACCCAAACACAGGAUGCCUUCAGCCGCAGACAGGCACCACACACAGUCCUUCUGUGAGCCCUCUUUGCAGGGAGCAGCAGCUUCCCAGGAGAAUGGCAGCUUCAGAGACAACCCAGUCACCCUCUUACUACAGACAAAUGCUUACAAGAAUCUCCUUGAACCCUCCUGGCACUCCGCCCCCCCAAACCCCACAGGGCUCUUUCUGUGCACAUCACAGGAAGCUCCUCAGCCCUUACGUCCUCCAAGGCACUGUCCUCAACACACACUAGAUGCUGACACAAAUCGCCCCAUGUACUCUUGCCUAUACAGAGACCAGGCGCUUUCUUGGUAUGCUCUACUCAAACCUGGGUCUCUCCCUGGAAUGCUGACAUUUGGGCCAGCUCAGUCUUUGUCCUGAGGGGCUGUGCUGUGUGGCAUAAGCUGUGUUCUCUACUGGAUGCCUGAAGAAACCCCCACUGUGUUCUGUUCCCUGAAGGACUUUGCUGAAUACUGCCUGGCCUGCCUCCUGAGGGGCUUGCCUGGCUUACAUUAAUAGUUAAUACCAUAAACAGUUAAAUGUGCUUACUACAUGCCAGGUCCUGUGCUAGAUACAUUUCAUGUUUGAAUUCACUACAGAUUUAUGAGCCUACAGUGCAGCACUGUCCCUUCCAGUCUACAGACACGAAAACAAUGAGCUUAAAUCCCAAGGUCUCACAUCUGGCAGGUGGGCAGUCUGUUAUACCUAAGGAAAUCUAGGCUUCCCCUUCCACCAAAGACGGAAUUUUACUUUUUAUUGUAUUAAAUACAUAUAACAAGAUUACCAUUUGACCGCUUUAGCAUAAGCAGACUGGCAUAUGGUAUGGAGGAGCUUUUGCCCUCCCCAUGCCCUUUUAGAAGAAGCUUCUACCUUAGGCAAUGAGGUGCAGCUAUAAAUACAUGACGAAUACGAAACACACACACACACACACACACACACACACACACACACACACACACACACAAUGAGGGCUGGAAUCCCAUGUUUAGAUUCUGUUCUUUUUCUCCAUGUUCAGGAUCUUGCAUCUAGGCAGGUGUCCAGUAACAAGGAAGCAAUGGGAUGUUGUCAGAUGAAGAAGAGAGGAUGGGUAAGUAGCUAAAACGAUGUGGGGACCAGCCAUUUGGGGUGCUCAGCUUUGCAGAGAAAGUGAGGACCUUAGAAGUUUAUGAGAUCACUGGCUGCUUCCCCACUUACUUCUGACCAACCCACCUCUCAGUCUCCAGCAGCCAUGAGCCUCUUUCUGCCUUACCUGAAGAUUUCUGAUUACCAUUAGCUUAUUAUUUUCCUACAGACCCUGAGUAUGUCCUGGUGAUGCAUUUUAAAGAGGCCUGAUGAAGAGCGCCCAUCGGUCCCUUGUUUCCAGCCCCAACGUGUGUACUCCUGGGCCCUUUACACUUCUUUGCUAGUGUCCGAGACUCCUCUGCAACCCAAGCUACAUCUGUCCACAAUCACUAGUCUGACUCUACUGCUCUUGCUGCCUCUGGGCAGUGCAGGAAAUGAAGCUCCAGAUUACACAUGCUGGCCAGGAAACACAAGGUGAGGUCCAUAGUAUCUUACUGGUGUUUGUGGUAAUUAGAGUAUGUCUGGGGGAAAAUGGUGGAUGACCUUAUUAAAGGUUUGAAUGGAACCAGUGAUUCUAUUUCCAGAAUUCUCCUAGGCAGUUCUAAAGACAAAGAUUUAAAUAGACAUGUGUGUGUGUGUGUGUGUGUGUGUUGUGUAUGUAUGUGUACAUGUGUGUGCAUGUGUAUGUGUGCAUGUGUAUGUGUGCAUGUGUAUGUGUGCAUGUGUAUGUGUGUAUGUGUAUAAGCAACAUUAUAUAACAGGUAAUGUGUUAUUACACACUAACCAAAGAGGUCAGAGUCACCUCAGGUGAGGGGAUCCACCCAUGUAAUGUGUUAUGACAAACACACUAAACAAAGAUGUCAGAGUCACCUCAGGCGAGAGAAUCCACCCUCAAAGAUUAUUAGGGGAGUCACAGUCUGCUGCACCAGAGGCAGGCAUGUUCCUCAUUUUAGUAAAUGAAAGGGACCAAAAAAAAAAAAUGGAUAAGCAACAGUAUCUCUCAGUGGAGAAUUGUCCCAGGCCUCUAGUUUCUUCUAUAUUUUAGCAUUUUCUAUAAUUACAGUUUAGUUCUGUUAAAUAACAAUAUUUUUACUAUAUUGCAUGUCUGUUAGUCAUGUGAAUACAUGGUAAGCUCUUUGUAUCUGAGCUACACUUGACGUUCAUUCUAAAACUUUCUUUUGUGGAGGGGGAGAAGAAACUCAUGUGGUCCCUUAUCACAGAGCUAUUGAACAAGAUCCAGAAAGAGAUCCAAGUCCUAAUUCUCCUGUCUGAAACUCACAGUGCUCCUCACAGCUAUAGGGUUCCCUGGGAGAGUCAAUCACACACUCUGAUAUCUUGGUACACUUUCUGGUUCACUUUUAAGAAUACCAGGCCUGGGAAUCUGCAUCCCUAACUCCCCCAGACCAUGCUGGUGUGGCCGGCUCUGGGACCCCUGACUUAUGCUUUUCACUCAGCGUGUGGGCUUAUCUAAUAAGAACCACAUGGAGGACAGGUAAACAAAGCCCCCCCGACACCUUCUCAAGGCUCCCCCUCAGAAUGAUCAUACCCUGCUUUCUGAAGAGAGAGCCCAGUGCCUUAGACAUCUCCCAGGGAGAACAAUGCACUUCUAGAAUUGCGAGCCCUCACUCACAUGCGUCUCUAGUGCUUCAGCUUAUGCCGACUAUUAGAAAACACGAAAGGAUAAAAAAAUUGCUAUUGAAGAAAUGGUUCCUCUCCAAAGGAGUCAACAUUUUUUAAAUAUCAAAUCAUGUUUCUACGUGUGUCCCUCCAUCUCAUCCCCUUCCUGGAAACCUCUAUGGACCCUUAAGAGAAAAAGCAAAAAUCCAUACCAUAGUUUCUUACAGGGGUGGUCUGGCCCCUGCCACCUGCCCAGCCUUUCCUCUCACCACUUCCCUGAUGUUACCUGGAGGAUAACCAACCAUACACCUAGCAGUGUGGUUUUGAAGUUAUAAAUCAUGAGCACCCCCCAAGCCGGCUGGCUUUGUGAGCUCAGCCUCUCCGCACACUCUCCAUCACAAUUAAAGGCCAUGUCAGGUCACCGGCCACCAAGAAGGUCCUCGCUGCAACUUACCCAGUGCCCCACUGCAUCUUACUCAUACCGAUGUUCACAGACAAACUCUCUGAAGGUGAGGAGACCACACGGAGGCUUAUGACCGUCACUUUCAAACACCGAUAUAAAAUCCAGGAUCUGGGAUCUUUGGGGUUCCUUCUGGAUUGUUGUGUCUAAUUACUGUCAUUGUAAAAAGGAAGCACUGGAAAUGGGGGUGGGGACCUUGUGUGGGUCAGGCCCAGAGUCAGGAGGUCUAAGGAAUAAGACUAGGUAGGUUUGGGGCUUGAGUAAUGGCAUUCUGUAUCUUGGAAGUAAUAAAUAUAGAUCUAUUUAUCCCCUCUCUCUCUCAUCUACUUAUCAUCUGUCUAAUUUUGAUGUCUUUCUUCUUAUCAAGAUGGAACUGAUGUUGUUAUUCUCACUUUGUAGGCCAGAAAGACCUGGCCUCUGCUGUGAGGUCUGUAUGUCCUUGGAGUGAGGCUCAUGAACCUUGACGACCUUUCCCAUGGAAAUCCCUGCAUUCCUAGUGUUACAGAUGAGCAAUCUACUGACACCAGGACUAAUUUCUCCUCUCCUUUCCUGAGAGCUCUUUUCCCCAAUACUUAGAAAUGGAACAUGAAAACAACCCGUGGUCCAUCUAUGGACUCUACUCCAGCAGGCUGCGGGCCCUGGCGUGGCCCCCAAGAAGGCUGUAUUUUGUGGAAACUGAAUACACUCACUUUUCAGCAGUGGUUUCAGUUCA
Molecule: non-coding RNA, 4033 nt
Organism: Rattus norvegicus (Norway rat)
Lineage: Eukaryota; Metazoa; Chordata; Mammalia; Rodentia; Muridae
Source: RefSeq, a predicted model, not a curated record